GGCUCGUUAGCUUAGUUGGUUAGAGCUCCACACUCCAUAAAUGUCUAGUGGCGGUCGUAGGUUCAAAUCCUACACGAGCCU
Non-coding RNA from Henosepilachna vigintioctopunctata, 81 nucleotides. The record is from the annotation of a GenBank genome assembly. Lineage: Eukaryota; Metazoa; Arthropoda; Insecta; Coleoptera; Coccinellidae.